This 497-nucleotide ribosomal RNA is filed under the name uncultured bacterium. RNAcentral describes it as "partial 16S ribosomal RNA". It matches the Rfam family "Bacterial small subunit ribosomal RNA", at positions 28 to 507 of the family's 1533-position model. The record is from RNAcentral.
GAUGAACGCUGGCGGCGUGCCUAAUACAUGCAAGUCGAGCGAACGGACGAGAAGCUUGCUUCUCUGAUGUUAGCGGCGGACGGGUGAGUGACACGUGGAUAACCUACCUAUAAGACUGGGAUAACUUCGGGAAACCGGAGCUAAUACCGGAUAAUAUUUUGAACCGCAUGGUUCAAAAGUGAAAGACGGUCUUGCUGUCACUUAUAGAUGGAUCCGCGCUGCAUUAGCUAGUUGGUAAGGUAACGGCUUACCAAGGCAACGAUGCAUAGCCGACCUGAGAGGGUGAUCGGCCACACUGGAACUGAGACACGGUCCAGACUCCUACGGGAGGCAGCAGUAGGGAAUCUUCCGCAAUGGGCGAAAGCCUGACGGAGCAACGCCGCGUGAGUGAUGAAGGUCUUCGGAUCGCAAAACUCUGUUAUUAGGGAAGAACAUAUGUGUAAGUAACUGUGCACAUCUUGACGGUACCUAAUCAGAAAGCCACGGCUAACUACGUG